AUAUGGCAUCACUUGGUUGAGAUCACCUGGAGAAGGCAGGCUCCUGAAACCGAUGAAGAGGAUGCAGAAUAUCAUGAGACAUUUAACAUGACUUCUUCCAGAGGGUGCAAAGAAAGCUCAGUGUUAGCAAUGUGUGCUGUUGUUAAAAAGCUGAGUCAACUGAAAACAACUUAUCAAAACUUACUGCUUGUUGAAAAAUGUUUGGGUUAUACAGUGAAUUACCCAUGUGAAUGUGGAAAGGGAAGAUGGCCUACAGGAUUUAAUAAAGAUUUGGGUGUUUUUUGUUGUUGUUGUUGUUUGUUUGUUUUCUCCCCAGAAAUUGUAUUGCUUUUCUUUUAUGGGGAUACUGGGAAAAGAGCUGGAACUAACACAUCAAUGGUUUUGGACCUGGAGAUGCUUUACAUGACGGUACUGGGCAAAUAAGGAAGGAGCUUCCCCCUUCCAAAGGCUCAUGUACUGAAUUCAGAAUAAACAGACUUCC
This 481-nucleotide long non-coding RNA is filed under the name Gallus gallus (chicken). RNAcentral's name for it is "long non-coding RNA NONGGAT009115". Lineage: Eukaryota; Metazoa; Chordata; Aves; Galliformes; Phasianidae. The record is from RNAcentral.